UACGUAGGGGGCAAGCGUUGUCCGGAAUUAUUGGGCGUAAAGAGCGCGUAGGCGGUCCGGUAAGUCGGUUGUGAAAGUCGGGGGCUCAACCCUCGGAUGCCGAUCGAUACUGUCGGGCUAGAGUCCGGAAGAGGCGAGUGGAAUUCCUGGUGUAGCGGUGAAAUGCGCAGAUAUCAGGAGGGACACCGGUGGCGAAGGCGGGUCUCUGGGCCGAUACUGACGCUGAGGAGCGAAAGCGUGGGGAGCGAACAGG
This 253-nucleotide ribosomal RNA is filed under the name uncultured bacterium. RNAcentral describes it as "partial 16S ribosomal RNA". It matches the Rfam family "Bacterial small subunit ribosomal RNA", at positions 524 to 776 of the family's 1533-position model. The record is from RNAcentral.